UACCUUCUAAUUCAAUAUAAAAAUUCAUUUUUAAAAAUGAAUUACAUAAUAUUUGAUUGCGCGAGCGCCGUUGACAGGGCUGAAAUAAUUGCCUGUUAGAAAGAUAAAUUUGUAAAAGAUUAGGCUGUUGGUGAAUUAAAAGCUCACCAAACCAAUGAUCUUUAGUUGGUUUUAGAGAAUGAUCAACCACACUGGGACUGAAACAAGGCCCAGGCUGAUAUGUUGGCCAGCAGUGGAGAAUAUUGGACAAUGAACGAAAGUUUGAUCCAGCAAUACUACCUGGGUGACGACGGCUU
This 296-nucleotide ribosomal RNA is filed under the name uncultured bacterium. Its description in RNAcentral is "partial 16S ribosomal RNA". It matches the Rfam family "Bacterial small subunit ribosomal RNA", at positions 127 to 417 of the family's 1533-position model. The record is from RNAcentral.